Molecule: long non-coding RNA, 370 nt
Organism: Gambusia affinis (western mosquitofish)
Lineage: Eukaryota; Metazoa; Chordata; Actinopteri; Cyprinodontiformes; Poeciliidae
Exons: 2
Source: RefSeq, a predicted model, not a curated record
GGUCUUUUGACAAUGUUGACGCCCCAGCCUCUGCUCUCAAACAGCAGGGCGUCUUUGUGAUUGGUAUUGGAACAAGGAACUCUGACAGUAGAGAGCUGCAGAAGUUAUCAUAUGAGCCUACUUAUGCGCUAUCAGUCUCUGAAUUCACCGACCUCCCUAGUGUCCAAGCACAACUCUCCUCUGUCAUGAGCACAGCACUGGCAAGGGUUACACCUUUGCCACCUACAGUGACGGUGGUGAGACAGCAGCCAGCAGGAAGGGAUGUGGUGUUCUUGCUGGAUGGAUCUGACGGCACCAGAACUGGCUUCCCAGCAAUGCGAGACUUUGUCCAAAGGGUAGUAGAGACACUCAGUGUAGAUGACAACAAAGA